UUAUUAUAAAUACAUUUUAGUUGUAGCAGUAAAAUACAUUUUGUGUUACCAUGAAUCUUUUAAAACAAAAGAACUUCACUUAGACAAUGAUCAUACUGUAGGAACUGUAGACCCCCAAGUUGAAAACUUGUUCUAAGAAACCAAUGUAGCUAAAGUAAUUCCAAAACUAAGUUAGAAAAGAAGAGACGAAGACAAAGAAAGAAAAGUAUAAACCCUACAGAGUGGCUUUGGGGUUAUUUUAUAGUACACAGUCAUUUUUACUUUUAAGGAUAAACUCUUUAGGUAUUAGAGCCUCUUAAAUGAGGUAUCAUUGACUGCAAAAAAAAAAAAUUAUUUUGCUAUAAUUGCCCCAUAAAUUAUGCUUAACUAGAUGGCUGCACAAUUGAGAUUCAGAGAGAUGGAAAAGAACCACUUCAGUUUCUUACAGCCUCCCUGUGGAAGACUUUCCAAGAUAAGGCCCAGUACGAUUUUGCUACGUAACAGAUCCUGUAAGUUCGCUGAACAAGUUUAGGUAAGAGUUGUAUUGUUGAAGCAUUGAAAAAAAUCCUGUGUUACUAUAACAGGACCCUUUAAUAAAAUGCAAAACUCAUCACCUUUAUAAUUUAGAGGAGAAGUGUUUUAACCACCGUCUUUGCCCAGGAUACAACUACUACAUAUAACAAGUACCUUCGUAGGUUUCAAAAAAGUCAGGUAGAUGACUGGCACAGGAAUCAGGUACAGUAUGGUGUCACGUACACGCAUUUGUGGGAAGCAGACAGGACCCUUGCUCUGUAUGGGGUGGGAGUGGGUGGGCGAGAAACAUCUCAGGUGUAACCGACACUCUGAGACUUUAACCUGGACAGAAGAGCCCUCUGACCUACAGAGAGGUAUGAAGAGGUCCCCGCAGAGAGGGUAUCGCGCAAAGCGAAGUGUAAAUAAAGCAAAGCUUCCUCUGAGUGGGGACUGCAUAAAGGAACCUGGGCCGAACACACACGGUCAUCACCAAAGGUCCGCCAGCCUUUUAGGUAGUACUGGGUCUUAAGGAUCCCAAAGCUGUGCGUUCCGUGGCGGUUCUCAUGUGUACUGAACACCUAAGGUGCUCUAUAUUCGAUGACCUUAAAAAUAUUUUUUUUUUCCUUUCUAGUAUCUCAGUAAAUUCAAAACCAAACUAAAAGCCAGAAGCAGAGCCCAAUGCUCCCCAUGGUGCAGUCAGGAUAAAUAGCAAAACAAGAACAACGAUACAUAAAUUUGAAGAUACCCAAAGAUCUAUCAGGUUUGUUAUAUUAUAGGCAGUUUCUUUCUCAGAAAUAACUUGCUCAUACAUGUGCACUUAUGACUUAGGAAUAAUUCAUGCUGUGUAGGUGGUAGACUCUCCUAGACUGUUUUGCAAACAUAUAGAUUUUUUUUUUUAAAGGUAGCAAAGUAAUUGGAGACAAUGAUUUCUUCUCUGUUGUAUACAACACUUCAGGCUCUCCCUAACACCUGCUGGCUUAGAAGAGCAUCCAAAAUAACUUUGUUAACCUGAGAAACACAUAAUUUGAAAAGCAAAUCCUUUACCCUCACCACUCCCUCUCCCCACCCCACCCCACUCCCUCCCCCCCAAAAAAACACCAUAAAAUCUACAGAAUACAUUUGGGGAUUAUAUAUUGUUUUCGAUGCUCCAUGUCACUGCCAUCUUAGGGCUGGGACUCCUGUACCUAGUGUCUCGAUAAAUACAAGGUGCAUUCUCGUGACAUUCUGAUGGCUUCUUUCCACCAUUCUCAUCUCCAUGCAUACGGAUCAUCAAGACUGACUCUAAGCACACCAAACAAAUGCACAGCUUCCAGGCCAAAGCCCAGGCAGCGGAGUACACAAAACCAAAUUCACCCUAGAAACCAAAGAGUUCCUUCACCCCCGGGUGGAAGAGCAGUCCAGAACCCACAGGGUGUGGGGGAGGGCGGCACAGCAACCCAAAGGCCUCAACCUUCCCUCUGGAUCUUUCUCCAUGAAUGUUCACUCAUGGCAUCAGAAUUCUACACGUCUCAAGAGAUGAGGUGUUUUUUUUUUUUUUUUCUUUUUUCUCCAUAUUGAGUAAAUAAAACCCGUGGUUGGAAAGACCUUCAGUCUGUCUCUAGACCAGCAAUUCUCCAGGUGCGGUUUCUGGGCCAGUGGCAUCAGCACUGUCUGGACACAAAUGCAAAUAUUCAGCUGCAGCCCAGAAUCAGACCCUCUCGGGUCGGGGUCCAGUAAUCGGUAUUUUAACAAGACCUCGAGGUAAUUCUGACGCCAGCUCAAGUUUGAGAACCACCGCCCAUUCUGUUUUCAAUUCUAAACCCUUACAACAGGACGGACGUCUAAACAGAUCUAUGGGGUGACUUCUACUCUGUUCAAACCUCUGUCAUUUGCCACCCUCUCCCCUUCUCAAACAUUAUAAAAAGUAUUAAUAAAAACAAUCAUGUCAUAAAAUCAAAAAACUUUUAAAAAGGUAAUAUUGAUUUCCCCUCCCAUACAUAGUUCGAAGGCAGGCAAUCACAUGCUAGUAUGCAAAAUAAAAUACAGAAGAGACCUCGUCUAUGAGGUAGAAAUAGCUAAGAAGACUCCCCAAGAACAUAAUGAAAAUUUCAUAAUAUUGUUUAAUGAACUCAUAGAAUUAUAUAAAACUUACUAUGCUUUAUGCUUAAUAUUUGUAUCAAAAUAAAAUCUCUCUGUUGAACAAAUUGCAAAUAAAGUCUGGUCUAAUACUCUUGAUUACUGAAACUAUAAGUAUAUGAACUUCUCUGGGUUUUCUUAACACUCCAGUUUGAGAAGCUUUCAACUACCUCUGUAUAACUGGGUUUGGGUUAUAACCACAGUUCCCAUUUCUAAGUCUAGAUUCUUCUAUUAGGUACCUCCCUUCAAAAAAACAUUUUAGAAACUCUGGUGACUAUUUCAUUAAAGUUCAUACCAAAGUAGAUACUUUUAACCAGUUCCAAAAAAUGGAAACGUUCCAUUAAAACGGUUUUUAAAUCUUUGAAAUCUGAAGGUCUAAUUUAAAGUAACAACAUAAUGCCAUUUUCUGCAUGCGAUUUGUAAGAACGUUAUACGGAAGGUUCACUUCCUUGCAACGACAGUCUUGAAACUGCUAAUUAAGCAGGUGUGAAAGCAGUAAAUGUGACGGCAGCAGCUUCACAGUAAAGUCUCAGCAAUAAAUGUCCAACCGCAAGGGGACAGGAAAUGUGAGCAGCCUGUAUCCUCAUGAGCACUUCGCAGACCAGCAUGCCACUUACUCUCUGGAGGACUCUCUCUACAAUAGGUGAUGGACACUAAGUGGUCAUUUGAACAGUAGACCUAGCCAGAACGGUACCCACUUUUUCUCAUUUCUAGGUGGUCUGCAUGUGGAUCAGACGGCAAGGAGGACCAAUCAGAUCCAUGAAGACAUUUACCUUGAAGAUGGAGGAAGACAUAGACAGUGGUGUGGAAACGGAAGAUUUUCAUGUGUUAAGAGGGCAGAUGGUAAGAAAUGAUGUCUGGUAAAUCAUAAAAGAGAAAUUACUACCUCUAAGGAGCUAGGGGAAAAAAAGGAUGGCUAGGCUAAGUAACAUUUAAAGCAGCAAUUUGUAUCUUUUGAUACAUUUAAAGUUUUAACCUUCUGUUUUUAUAGACUUUUACUGGAAUUCCCUUUUUAAAAUCAACUCCACUAUGAAAAAUGCUCGACCAGGUGUCUCUUUUUAAGCAACUAUUGAUAUAUUUCAGUAAAUCUAAUUUUCUUAAUGACAACAGUUGAAAUACUAAAAUUUAUCUUGUAAUUGUUUUUCAUACCCUGACUCUUAGCCAAGGUGGUUAGAAAUACAUUCUUUUAUAACUUUGCUUUUGCGAUAAAAAACAUUAAGCAUAUAAAACCAUCUACACUAGAGCAACACGACACUAAAUAUUUUCUCAAAGUCAGGAAAUUCAGAUAGCUUUCUCAGCAACUUCAAUGCCUCCGUAACAAGGAAACUAUUCUCACAAAUAGGUCUUGGCGAUCACUGUGUUUAAUUAGGUAAUGCCUAUUCGGUGGGAAUUCUGCUUAUUUUACUUAUUCUGCCAUUCUCUGAACUGAAAAGACCACUGAUGUUUACUUAUACUGAACCUGAACUUAUUCUACAAUCUCUGAUUGAAAAAACAAACCGACACAUAAAGCAGUUUGUUAUGUUAUGUAUAUAAAAUUACCUGGACAAAAGGCAGACCUGUGAGCAAAGGAAACUUAAGGUCAACUGGUCAGUAAUUAACUCCAGAUUCAUCAAACACAAAGCUGUCCUCUAACGAUUUGGCAAAGGUAUACCAAAACGACAGCCAAAACGCCUUUUAAAAACACCAGAAAACAUCCAUAUUACACUGAAUGAGGUCCUUCAAAUCUUAAUAAAAAUUAUUUUUUAGAUGAGGGAAAAAAAUGCAGCAUGAGUGCUAUACAAACUCUAUCACCCAGAAGAUUUUUUAAAAUUAAAAAAAAGAAAAAUAAACCUCAAGUAGCACUGAAAUUAAAAGUGAAAUGAAUAAAAAAUAGUCUGUCACGAAGAAGGAAACUUCAGAGUGAUAUUAAGAACAAAGAAGUAGAAAGACGACAUGAAAAAUAAACCUCAGGAAAAAAAUAAUCUCUACUGGAAAUAAAAGGAAGUUAGUAAUACUUGGUAUGAGAGCUAUCGUCAAGUUUUCUAAAAAUAAUAUACACACGCACGUGUAUUUAUAGUUUACACAUGUGUGUAUAUAUUUUCAUACAUACAUAUAUAUGUUCCAUCUGAGCUCUAAGGUUGAAAAUAAGUUAUGUUUCACAAGUCUCAUUUAUAGGUACUUGCUAAUUCUACCUAAGUAAUUACCAAAGGGCACCUGCUGUAGUCAGAAGCCCUGCCUCAUUUCAAUGGAAACUUGGCAAUGAUUCUUACAGUAAGACUUGCUCAAAAUCGUUGUAAGAUACUAUGCAUAAAUAACAGGUUCUUUCAAGCGUGGAAAGAUGACAAUUAAGAAAUGCUGAGAAAGAGUAUAAGCUUGUUAGAGGUUAAAAGAAGCCUUCCAGCCAGAAUCCAGAAAGAGUUAUCAGAUGGAAACCACACUCCACCCCUUGACUGGCUGGAAAAACAACAAGGAAACGAGGAACACUUAGACGCUAUGGCAGAGCAGUGGACUAGUUCAAGUAUGGAAAGAGAAAGUCGGGUGACAAGGGGUUAACCGAAAGCCCCUGAAAGACACUAUAAUUCUGUCUUCAUAUUAUCAAAACGCUCUUGAACAUGUGUCUAGCUGGUGUUCUAGUCCUGCAUAUAUGGGGGAGAAGAGAUCAUCGUCGAUGAGAAAAUUAUUUUUCACAGAUAUCCUCACAUCGAGGAGACCCAAUUUUCACCUGGACUACGUCUUGAGUUCGGUCGUAAGGCUGGACACACAUAGGUAUAUGGCAAGCAUUUUUCCUUUCCUUCUGACUAAAGCAGGCUGAGCGCCAUCGGCCAUGGUGAGAGGCGGUGAUCGGACACGGCGCAGAGAAAGCGAAGUGCUGUGGCCUGCUGGCUCAGUUUUCCAACUGUGAUUUAUACGAACCACGAACACGUCUGCAGUCUGCAGGCCUGCGUCUGCCACCUCACGGGAGCCCACAGCCUGUGGCAGGAAGCCACGCACAAGCGGGGUACACGCGGAGCAGGGGGAAGGGGAUCUAAGAGGCGCGCUCCAUUUGUGCCCUGGCUUCUCACCUUUACCCUAAGGCACCGUCCAGCCCAGACUGUCUGCGCCUUACAGGGGGCGGGGCCGGCGCACGUACACUAAACUCCAGCCAUGUGCGAAAUGGAAGUAGUGUUUCUUCAUCCUUGCCACUUCCAGUCUGGUUUCCAAAAUGUACUGUGGAUACAGGAUGGCCUGUCAAAAGUAGUAGUCUUCUAAAAAAAACAUUUUGAAUAGAUCAUCGGGAAGGCUGGGUUCAUGUGAAAGGUUCCUCAGCCUUGUCUUACUAAAAUGGUUUUUUUAAAUGUUAGAUAGUAGUUUCCAGAUCUCUCUGAAACAGAAAAGUAGAACUACUAGAUUGGGAAAAUAAUGACAUGCAUGACUUCAACUGUGUGACAAGAUCGCAAGUUUUUAAGAGGGUAAACAUUUUCCUUUGGUUUUUUACCAAAGUUCAUUCAAAACAAUUGUUAGACUGUAGACUAUUUAAGAUAGCUAUUUAAAUUUUCUAUUUUUGUACAAGUUCAAUAGGAGUAUUUUAGAAGAAUCGAAAGACAUGAAAAACAAGGGUAGUUUUCUGCCCCAGAUUUUGAUGAAUUUUGAUAUAUUUUUGACAAACACUAUAUUUCUUCUUUAGUGAUGUUCCUCAAACAAAAGAGCUAGCAAAAUAUUUGAAUUGCCAUGUAUAAUGUCACAUUUUAAUGUAAACAUCAAAUAAGGUACCAAAAUUUUUACUGGAGGAAAAUAAAAAAACAAACCUUAAAGCGGCACAAUUCUUUAUACCACUGGAGAAGUGGGGAAAACCAGGUU
Long non-coding RNA from Tupaia belangeri chinensis (Chinese tree shrew), 6423 nucleotides. RefSeq lists it as uncharacterized. The record is from RefSeq and is a predicted model, not a curated record. The transcript is spliced from 2 exons. NCBI's taxonomy places the organism in Eukaryota, Metazoa, Chordata, Mammalia, Scandentia, Tupaiidae.